UGACAGAGAGAGAGAGCACAAGCAAGAAAAGCAGCAGAGGGCGAGGGAGAGGCAGACUCCCCACUGAGCAGAGAGCCUGAUGUGGGGUAGGUCCCAGGACCUGAGCUGAUGGCAGAGGGCCAAAGUCUGAGCCACCAAGGCACCCCAGACUAGACCUCAGUCUAGUCUGUGUCCUAACUGUAAGAUUUUCAUUGUACUGGAAACUCCAUAAAGCUGAUUGCCUUCUGGAUACGUCCCACCUCCUGCACACCUCAGCACAGCCAUUCCUGAGAUCAGGAAGAAGCAAGGUCUCCCUACAGGUGGUAAAGAAGAAGACCAGUAGACCCUAGAACAGGAAAAGUGGCCUGUUUUGUCCCCUUUGCCCAGAGUGUGCUGCCACUGGAUAAGUUCCUCUCACUCCCCAAGGCCCACGUCAAAUGCUACCUCCCCUUAGAAGGAUUCUCUGAUCCUCCCGCUGCUUGCACCUCCCUGGAGACCCUUGUCACCAACUGAGAUACUCCUACAGUGGGUUGAAAGGAGCACUCAACUUUCAAGGAAACUUGGAGUUGGGGGCUUGGCAGUUGCCAGCAGUCUGACCUUAGGAAGAUCAUUACCCCUUGGAACCUCACACCGAUCGUUUCAUUCGUCACCUGGAAGAGAGGAUGACAAAGCCUACCACGAAGGACAUGCAACGCAUCCUCCUCUUACCAGCUCAGAGUCUGUCUGCAAAGCUAUGGAGAUCUGUCUCUCUCCAUUUUUCUGCCUCACGACUGAGCCUCUGCCUCUCUGACCCCCGCCAAUACAGAUGGGGAUACAGAGGCCCAGAGAAAGCCUGGAACGCUGAGACUGGGAGGAGCCUUAGGUCCUUAGUGCUCCAAGUCUGGACCAUGCGCCAGCAGCCUCGGGCCCCUGGAGGGGCUUGGAGAAAGGCGGCGUUUCAGUCCUUGCCCCAGACCUACUGGACUGGCAUGUGCCUUUGAACAAGAUCUCAGGUGAUGUAAAGUUUGAGAGCACUGUGUCAGCAGAUAGCUGAGUGUGUGGGUUUCACAUAGAGCCAGCCAGAGCGCAGACGGAGGCUUGGCUCCCCUGCUCACCCGC
RNAcentral lists this long non-coding RNA (1077 nucleotides) under Mustela putorius furo (domestic ferret). RNAcentral's name for it is "lncRNA (ENSMPUG00000031429.1)". Lineage: Eukaryota; Metazoa; Chordata; Mammalia; Carnivora; Mustelidae. The record is from RNAcentral.